RNAcentral lists this ribosomal RNA (549 nucleotides) under Bacillus sp. (in: firmicutes). RNAcentral's name for it is "bacterial SSU rRNA". It matches the Rfam family "Bacterial small subunit ribosomal RNA", at positions 126 to 660 of the family's 1533-position model. The record is from RNAcentral. Lineage: Bacteria; Bacillati; Bacillota; Bacilli; Caryophanales; Bacillaceae.
CUGCCUGUAAGACUGGGAUAACUCCGGGAAACCGGGGCUAAUACCGGAUGGUUGUUUGAACCGCAUGGUUCAAACAUAAAAGGUGGCUUCGGCUACCACUUACAGAUGGACCCGCGGCGCAUUAGCUAGUUGGUGAGGUAACGGCUCACCAAGGCAACGAUGCGUAGCCGACCUGAGAGGGUGAUCGGCCACACUGGGACUGAGACACGGCCCAGACUCCUACGGGAGGCAGCAGUAGGGAAUCUUCCGCAAUGGACGAAAGUCUGACGGAGCAACGCCGCGUGAGUGAUGAAGGUUUUCGGAUCGUAAAGCUCUGUUGUUAGGGAAGAACAAGUACCGUUCGAAUAGGGCGGUACCUUGACGGUACCUAACCAGAAAGCCACGGCUAACUACGUGCCAGCAGCCGCGGUAAUACGUAGGUGGCAAGCGUUGUCCGGAAUUAUUGGGCGUAAAGGGCUCGCAGGCGGUUUCUUAAGUCUGAUGUGAAAGCCCCCGGCUCAACCGGGGAGGGUCAUUGGAAACUGGGGAACUUGAGUGCAGAAGAGGAGA